UGUCUGUUAAUUAGAGCUGUCAAUUGUCAACAUUGGCUGGUCAAGUCGGGCAGAAUUUUUUAUCGGUCGGGUUAGUUGAAGACAAUCGGAUUGGUGCAGUUCAUAGCAGAGAUUUAUGCAGGGCUUUCUUUGACAUGUACCUUGGGGACGGUCCGGUCUCUGAGCAAACAAAAACAGAGAUCGGAGAAAAUGUCACGAAUAUAAUGCGAAUGUGCUAAUUUGGGCAUCCUGCUUCUCUCCAGCAUUUUAAAUGGAUAAUUAGUUUAGAAUCCUAGUCUUUAGCGACUCAUUAUGGUGUCAUGUAUUCUAGCAUGAUGCGACAAAAGAGGAUCAUUGAUUAUUACACUUAAAGUAGAGGUUAAUAUCCAUAGAGUUCAGUUUGUUUGUAAGGUUACACAAAGAUGCGUAAUCUUGUCAUUGUAGCUGCUUGUUGAACCGCAUAACAGUAAUGUAGUUUGUGGCGUGAAGAUGAAGAGG
Molecule: long non-coding RNA, 477 nt
Filed under: Helianthus annuus (common sunflower)
Lineage: Eukaryota; Viridiplantae; Streptophyta; Magnoliopsida; Asterales; Asteraceae
Description: hypothetical non coding rna
Source: RNAcentral